CAGUAGCCGCGGUAAAACGUAGGUGGCAAGCGUUGUCCGGAAUUAUUGGGCGUAAAGGGCUCGCAGGCGGUUUCUUAAGUCUGAUGUGAAAGCCCCCGGCUCAACCGGGGAAGGUCAUUGGAAACUGGGAAACUUGAGUGCAGAAGAGGAGAGUGGAAUUCCACGUGUAGCGGUGAAAUGCGUAGAGAUGUGGAGGAACACCAGUGGCGAAGGCGACUCUCUGGUCUGUAACUGACGCUGAGGAGCGAAAGCGUGGGGAGCGAACAGGAUUAGAGACCCGAGUAGUCCCUGUCUCUUAUAC
This 301-nucleotide ribosomal RNA is filed under the name uncultured bacterium. RNAcentral's name for it is "partial 16S ribosomal RNA". It matches the Rfam family "Bacterial small subunit ribosomal RNA", at positions 509 to 807 of the family's 1533-position model. The record is from RNAcentral.